This 318-nucleotide ribosomal RNA is filed under the name Longitarsus pratensis. RNAcentral describes it as "partial 16S large subunit ribosomal RNA". The record is from RNAcentral. Lineage: Eukaryota; Metazoa; Arthropoda; Insecta; Coleoptera; Chrysomelidae.
GGUUUAGCCUGCCCGAUGAAGAUUUGAAUGGCCGCAGUAUUUUGACUGUGCUAAGGUAGCAUAAUCAUUAGUUUUUUAAUUAAAAGCUGGAAUGAAGGGUUGGAUGAAAAAUUAACUGUCUCUAAUUAAUUUUAUUAGAAUUUUAUUUUUAAGUUAAAAAGCUUAAAUUUAUUUAAAAGACGAGAAGACCCUAUAGAGUUUAAUAUAUUUAAUUUUGUAGAUAUUUAGAAUUUAUUUUUUAUAUUUAUAGUAUAUUUAAUUGGGGUGAUUAAAAAAUUUAAUAAACUUUUUUUAAAAAUUUAUAUUAAUUAAUAAAUA